RNAcentral lists this ribosomal RNA (439 nucleotides) under uncultured bacterium. RNAcentral's name for it is "partial 16S ribosomal RNA". It matches the Rfam family "Bacterial small subunit ribosomal RNA", at positions 339 to 795 of the family's 1533-position model. The record is from RNAcentral.
CUACGGGAUGCUCCAGUGAGGAAUAUUGCACAAUGGGGGGAACCCUGAUGCAGCAACGCCGCGUGGAGGAUGACGCAUUUCGGUGUGUAAACUCCUUUUAUAUGUCAAGAAAAUGACGGUAGCAUAUGAAUAAGCACCCGCUAACUCCGUGCCAGCAGCCGCGGUAAUACGGAGGGUGCAAGCGUUAAUCGGAAUCACUGGGCGUAAAGGACGCGUAGGCGGGUUGGAAAGUCAGGUGUGAAAUCCUACAGCUUAACUGUAGAACUGCACUUGAAACUUCUAAUCUAGAGUAUGGGACGGGGAGAUGGAAUUAGUGGUGUAGGGGUAAAAUCCGUAGAUAUCACUAGGAAUACCUAAAGCGAAGGCGAUCUCCUGGAACAUUACUGACGCUAAGGCGUGAAAGCGUGGGGAGCAAACAGGAUUAGAUACCCUCGUAGUC